This 1933-nucleotide long non-coding RNA is filed under the name Malus domestica (apple). RNAcentral describes it as "long non-coding RNA (MDOM_LNC009473)". Lineage: Eukaryota; Viridiplantae; Streptophyta; Magnoliopsida; Rosales; Rosaceae. The record is from RNAcentral.
GAGUGACCAACAGCAGCACAGAAAUCUCACACAUGGCUAGCUGUGGCAUGGCAUCAGCUGCCUCAGGCUUUGUGGUAGCACCAAACGUUGCAACCACCAACUCAGGCUCAGCUUCCAGCCGGAGUAGCAUGCUGUUUUUCCCUUCAAAACCCAACACCAACACCAGAAGCAAUGCCAGGUUUGUGAUCAGGGCAGCUGAAGAAGCCGCUGCGCCUCCGGCCGCCACCACGACUGCACCAGAGGGGGCAGCUACCCCUAAGCCUAAGCCACCACCAAUUGGACCCAAGAGAGGCACUAAGGUUAGUUCAUGUGAAAAAAUAAUAGAAAUAAAUCAGUGUUAUUUUUCAAGUAUUGUUGUGAGUAAAUUGUCAAUAGUUUUGUAGAAUUGCUGAAUAGAAAAAUCAAAACCAAAUUACCUAGAAAAAAAAGUAGGGAUUUAAAAAACACUAAUUGUGAAUUUGAAAGGCUUGUAGCUGAAAUCAUUAAAGGUGUGAUCCUCGCACUUGAGAUCCUUUGUUUAAAUUGUCACUCCUCCAAUAUUACAUUAAACAAAAUAUUUCGCUAAAAACCUCUCCCAGACCCUGCGUAAAGCGGGAGUCUUGUGCACUGGGUACGACCUUAUAUCGCUAAAAACUUGUAAAUGUUGAGAGUUAUCCCACAUAUGUGAGAGACAAAGUUUGCUAUGUACUUAUAUGAUCUUGAACUACUCCUUAUAUUGCCAGUUAGUUUUAUGGUGAAACUUCAAUUUCAUCGUAGUAUUAGAGCGGGUUGUCUUUGUGUGAAGCCAAAUGACCACACACUCUCCACGUCACCCAGUUGUUGUUCACGUGUAGGCUUGAAAAUACGCCAGUCCGAGGUACAAGUGUUCGUUAGUCUAAUUUGAUAGAAAUAGUGCAACUCAGGUCGAGCCACAGGAGACCUUAUUAUAUGUUCUUGAGUAUGAAUUUUUCACAAAUGGUUUUGUGUUUAGUUUUAAUAUUUGCAGAAAUAUCUUAGGACCCCAAUUUAAUACACAACAAAUUGGCUCAUUUAUUAAUCUGCUAUUAGAACAAGAAGAAUUGAAUUGAAGAGGAAUAUUAAAACGUUGAUCAGUUUGACUAUUUCACUUGGCUCCAUAUUGUUUUUUCUUCCCUUCUGAAUCAUAACUCUAUACUUUCUUUCACAGGUGAAGAUUCUUAGGAGGGAAUCCUACUGGUUCAAAGGCAUUGGAUCUGUUGUGGCUGUGGAUCAGGUCUGACGGCUCUCUCUCUCUCAAUAAAAAUGAACUUGAUAAAGAAAAUGGAGUACUUAAAUGUGGAUAUCUGUUUUGCAGGAUCCGAAUACCCGUUACCCUGUCGUGGUCCGAUUCAACAAAGUUAACUAUGCCAAUGUGUCCACAAAUAACUAUGCUUUGGACGAGAUUGAAGAAGUUAAAUGAGUUUGUAGUAGCACUGUAAAUUGUAAUCUUAAUUAAAUUGUCCUUCUCUCAGUUUCUUCCUUACUUGUUGGUGCCCUUUAUUUGUGUAUCAUACUCUAAAUUUCUUCUUCCACCUUUUCUUAGUUAUUUUCAAUCACUGCUUCCUCAAAACACGAAUAGAUCGUUAUAAACUCAUAGUAUAUACCGUAUUUAUACACCGGAUUCAUAUGCCGGUUUCAUGCAUCUAUACGCUGUAAAUUAUCCUAUACUGGUUUCAUACACCGGAGCCGUACACUGCUUCUCUCUUUGUCACUGUAUCUUUAUCUUACGAUAUGGAGGGAAACAUUAAUAGGUGUUGGUUACAUCCCGGAGUUGGGCACCAUAUUUCUAAUUUUUUGUUUUAACUUAUUUGUAUUUUAGUUUGUUGUGCAAAUUUCAUCCCGAUGUUAAAUGGUGAGGGGAAAUGCAUGAAAGGAAAAGCAUAACGUGCCUUGCAUUGAUCCCAAAUAGAAUAUCGUAAAAAAUUGGAAAAAAAAA